This 539-nucleotide long non-coding RNA is filed under the name Ananas comosus (pineapple). RNAcentral describes it as "long non-coding RNA (ACOM_LNC035812)". The record is from RNAcentral. Lineage: Eukaryota; Viridiplantae; Streptophyta; Magnoliopsida; Poales; Bromeliaceae.
AAAUAUAAAGUAGGUCUUGAGUGGUGGUAGAAGCACGAAGGUUCGUCUUCGUGCUCCCAAACUAUUUUCGAUGUUGAAGCUUCUGAAUCAAUAAUUAAUUCUAUUAGACUUGAUUUAUCAUAUUUGAAAUAUAUCUAGAAAAUAAAUUUUAUAAUUUUUUAAUAUUAUUUACUUGAUGAUGGAAAUGGCUCAAAAUCAACAGCUGAAAUUAAAAAUCUUACAAAAAUAGUGAUAUAGCACUAAAGUUUUCGAUCAGAGAUAUUGAUCUUGCUAUAUAUAUUGAAUUUUCUAUCAAAAUUAAUUUGAUUUGAAUACGUACUUCUGCAUCGUUAAACUUGUAAACGGUAUAUACCGACUAUUAAAAAUUGUUGAUUUUGAACUUUUCGAUCGUUAGGUAAAUGAUAUCAAAAAAUUAUAAAAUUUAUUUUCUAAAUAUUUCAAAUAUGCUAUAUCAAGUCUAACGGAGCAGAUUGUCGAUUCAAAAGCUCCAUCAUCGAAAAUGGCUUAGAAGAUUAGAAAUAUUCAAGACGUUUAUGGGG